AGCGAACGCUGGCGGCAGGCCUAAAACAUGCAAGUCGAGCGCCCGUAGCAAUACGGGAGCGGCAGACGGGUGAGUAACACGUGGGAACGUACCCUUUGGUUCGGAACAACCCAGGGAAACUUGGGCUAAUACCGGAUAAGUCCGCGAGGAGAAAGAUUUAUCGCCGAAGGAUCGGCCCGCGUCUGAUUAGCUUGUUGGUGAGGUAACGGCUCACCAAGGCGACGAUCAGUAGCUGGUCGAGAGGAUGAUCAGCCACACUGGGACUGAGACACGGCCCAGACUCCUACGGGAGGCAGCAGUUAGGAAUCUUGGACAAUGGGCGCAAGCCUGAUCCAGCCAUGCCGCGUGAGUGAUGAAGGCCUUAGGGUUGUAAAGCUCUUUCAGCGGGGAAGAUAAUGACGGUACCCGCAGAAGAA
This 416-nucleotide ribosomal RNA is filed under the name uncultured bacterium. RNAcentral's name for it is "bacterial SSU rRNA". It matches the Rfam family "Bacterial small subunit ribosomal RNA", at positions 29 to 489 of the family's 1533-position model. The record is from RNAcentral.